This 248-nucleotide ribosomal RNA is filed under the name uncultured Actinomycetales bacterium. RNAcentral describes it as "partial 16S ribosomal RNA". It matches the Rfam family "Bacterial small subunit ribosomal RNA", at positions 82 to 334 of the family's 1533-position model. Lineage: Bacteria; Bacillati; Actinomycetota; Actinomycetes; Actinomycetales. The record is from RNAcentral.
CUGGGGUACUCGAGUGGCGAACGGGUGAGUAACACGUGGGUGAUCUGCCCUGCACUUCGGGAUAAGCCUGGGAAGCUGGGUCUAAUACCGGAUAGGACCAUCGUUUAGUGUCGGUGGUGGAAAGUUUUUCGGUGUGGGAUGAGCUCGCGGCCUAUCAGCUUGUUGGUGGGGUAAUGGCCUACCAAGGCGUCGACGGGUAGCCGGCCUGAGAGGGUGUACGGCCACAUUGGGACUGAGAUACGGCCCAG